GAUGAACGCUAGCGGGAGGCCUAACACAUGCAAGCCGAGCGGUAUUGUUUCUUCGGAAAUGAGAGAGCGGCGUACGGGUGCGUAACACGUGUGCAACCUGCCUUUAUCUGGGGGAUAGCCUUUCGAAAGGAAGAUUAAUACUCCAUAAUAUAUUGAACGGCAUCGUUUAAUAUUGAAAGCUCCGGCGGAUAGAGAUGGGCACGCGCAAGAUUAGCUAGUUGGUGAGGUAACGGCACACCAAGGCGAUGAUCUUUAGGGGGCCUGAGAGGGUGAUCCCCCACACUGGUACUGAGACACGGACCAGACUCCUACGGGAGGCAGCAGUGAGGAAUAUUGGUCAAUGGGUGCAAGCCUGAACCAGCCAUCCCGCGUGAAGGACGACUGCCCUAUGGGUUGUAAACUUCUUUUGUAUAGGGAUAAACCUACCCUCGAGAGGGUAGCUGAAGGUACUAUACGAAUAAGCACCGGCUAACUCCGUG
RNAcentral lists this ribosomal RNA (479 nucleotides) under uncultured bacterium. RNAcentral describes it as "partial 16S ribosomal RNA". It matches the Rfam family "Bacterial small subunit ribosomal RNA", at positions 28 to 507 of the family's 1533-position model. The record is from RNAcentral.